GAGUUUGAUCCUGGCUCAGGAUGAACGCUGGCGGCGUGCCUAAUACAUGCAAGUCGAGCGAACGGACGAGAAGCUUGCUUCUCUGAUGUUAGCGGCGGACGGGUGAGUAACACGUGGAUAACCUACCUAUAAGACUGGGAUAACUUCGGGAAACCGGAGCUAAUACCGGAUAAUAUUUUGAACCGCAUGGUUCAAAAGUAAAAGACGGUCUUGCUGUCACUUAUAGAUGGAUCCGCGCUGCAUUAGCUAGUUGGUAAGGUAACGGCUUACCAAGGCAACGAUGCAUAGCCGACCUGAGAGGGUGAUCGGCCACACUGGAACUGAGACACGGUCCAGACUCCUACGGGAGGCAGCAGUAGGGAAUCUUCCGCAAUGGGCGAAAGCCUGACGGAGCAACGCCGCGUGAGUGAUGAAGGUCUUCGGAUCGUAAAACUCUGUUAUUAGGGAAGAACAUAUGUGUAAGUAACUGUGCACAUCUUGACGGUACCUAAUCAGAAAGCCACGGCUAACUACGUGACC
RNAcentral lists this ribosomal RNA (519 nucleotides) under uncultured microorganism. RNAcentral's name for it is "bacterial SSU rRNA". It matches the Rfam family "Bacterial small subunit ribosomal RNA", at positions 9 to 510 of the family's 1533-position model. The record is from RNAcentral.